CAGUUUCUUGAAGUCAAUUUUUUCCUGUGUAUCUAUAUCAGUGUCUUUGUCUAUAUCUAGAUAUAGCUAUCCUCUUGGUUCUGUUUCUCUGGAGAAUCCUGACUAAUGCAUAUCCCUACCCUGAGAAUCCCGUAUCACUGAUAGCCUAGAAUUUAUCUUAUGUUUUAUAAUUUUGUAUUCCCCAUAGUACUUAUCACCUUAUAGUUUACAUAUAAUUAACUUACUCAUCGUUAUUGUUUGUUGUCUAUCUCCCUACCCGAGUGUGAGGCACUGAAAGUGGAGUUCCUGGUGUGUUCUUUCCCUGCGAUGUCACGUAAGCCAGGAAAGCCUGCUGGCUCGCAGCAAAUGUUCAAUAAAUAGAAGCAGUGAACACACUUCACAUCACAGCUCCCCAGCUGAUUUGCCCCAUGAUGGAAGCUCUUUCUAAAUCUCCAAUCUACCUCUAGCUUCAAAUUUGUUAUUAUUCACGUUUGAAGAAAUAAAAAAAGAGCCUAUUUUGGACGGACAGAUCUCUCACUGUACCCCAAGUCCCUCAGAGCCGUGUGCUCAGCUUCCUUCUCCCUGAUUAGAUUUCAGUCCCUUGGCUCACCUGCCCUGAGCUCUUCUUUUCCUGUUUGUGUCACAGGUAAGUUCUCCCCAGCUAUUUCUGCCACUCCUGUUGGAUAACUUUGUUAUUCACUUUUACUAACUUUCAAUAAUUAGACAUUUCACAGCUAUUUUCCAGAGGUCAUCUCCGGUCGCCUUUCAGACACUGUCCCUGCACCCACAGGUGAAGUCACUCCCCAGCAGGGAGAUAAGAUCGUGGAACCAAACCUUUAUCUCAGGCUGAAAUGCCCACUCUCCACGCCUGCGCGACCGCCGCCUCUCAACUCGUGGUCCUGACAGCAAACACCCAUCAGAAGUCACGAGAAGGAUGACAGGCGGAGGUUUGGAAAUGGGCGAACCCUAAGGCACAUGAGGGACCUGGCUGCAGGAAGAGAGAAGGAGGACUCUGCAAGUUAUCUCUCUUCUCGAAUUGAAAUUCCUGAGAGCGAGAGUCCAAGGGAACCCAUGUAAGUCCUGUUCUCUACCCUCGCUUAGGAGAGGGAGUGACAUUUGUAAUGAUAGCUCUGCGGGAUAUGUCUAGUAGAUGUAGACCCUGCAUACCUCGGAAAACAACCAAUGUGACAACAGUGCUGGAGAGAACAGAGCCCAAGAGAGAAAGAAAAAUUAUAAUACCAGUUUCCCUGGUAGGUGUCAAGGAUGAAGUUACUCCCCACUUGGCAGAAAUGCAGGUGAAAAGGAAAAGAAUCCUCUGAGGGGAUGAGAGUGGUGUCAACUUAAAAAGCAAAUUUGCCUGUUAUUUUAUCUCAAAAUGAGUUUAUUCCAGAAUAG
RNAcentral lists this long non-coding RNA (1374 nucleotides) under Equus asinus (donkey). RNAcentral's name for it is "lncRNA (ENSEASG00005027035.1)". Lineage: Eukaryota; Metazoa; Chordata; Mammalia; Perissodactyla; Equidae. The record is from RNAcentral.